GCGAGUAGGAGGAGAGUUGCAGAUGGAUAUCGUGGCCUGCUGAUGGUUUUGGAGCCCAGGUCCAGACAUUUCUUGAUUGAAGUAGACAUUCAAGAAGUGUGAAAUGCACAGUCAGAAAAUCUGGGACUUCUCUUUUUCCUUGUCAGAAUCAGGAUUGAAAAAUGAUUCAGCGGGGAAUAGCUUCUUUACAGUGAGAGCCCGUGUUAUUGAUUUUUGUGUCUGUAUACAACCUAAAAGAAUGGAGGCGUGUGUCCCUCUCUUUCGGAAAUAAUGAUAUCAUCCAUGUGUAAUUAAUUAUGUGGGGCCCAUGUUGGAAGACUGUGUAGCCAGCUCUUGGCUGUCGAAGCACUGACUACAUGGAUUUAACCUGCCAUUGACAGUGGCGCCAUUUUUCUGGUCCUCCAGAGGAACAUAAACCUGUCCAUUUUACUCAUCUUGAAGGAGUUUUGGCAAAACAUGUAUUAGGGCAGAAAAUGAAACCUCACUAGAGCUCCCUUUG
RNAcentral lists this long non-coding RNA (499 nucleotides) under Homo sapiens (human). RNAcentral's name for it is "non-protein coding lnc-ITIH2-1:1". The record is from RNAcentral. Lineage: Eukaryota; Metazoa; Chordata; Mammalia; Primates; Hominidae.